Molecule: transfer RNA, 54 nt
Filed under: Typosyllis sp. patternB
Lineage: Eukaryota; Metazoa; Annelida; Polychaeta; Phyllodocida; Syllidae
Description: tRNA-Arg
Source: RNAcentral
CGAUAAACAUAAUAGUUUCGACCUAUUUAAACUGGAAAUACAUUUCCUUAUCGC